UGUGGGUUGGUGAAGGCUUUCCAAAAGACUUACUACAAUAGCUAUGGAGGUGGUGCCAACGAGCUCCAAGAUGGGUUCAACAAGGGCACCGGCUUGGGUGCUGAGAUCAUUGGCACCUUCGUUCUUGUCUACACUGUCUUCUCAGCCACUGAUCCCAAGAGGAGUGCAAGGGAUUCCCAUGUUCCUGUAUGUUCCCUUCUCUCUUCUAUAAAUGAAUCAAUAUUUAUAUUUGAGUCAAAUUAAGAAAUUGAAAGAAAAUUAGGGGAUCAAUUAGGAUACUACUUUUGUAGAUUGUCCAUAUGUAGAUUUUGUUAUACACAAUCAAUUUUUCACUAAUUUCCUUAGUAGGAACUUUCAUGGUUAGGCAUAUAGGAGGGUUGCCAACUUGCCAUAUAAGUCCCUCUUAUUAUUAAUUUUUUUCUCAAUUUUGAAAUUAUAAACAUUAUGAGUAAUUAUUUUCUUUGUUUGCAAAAAUAUAUAUAUAUAUUUAAGGUGUUGGCACCACUUCCCAUUGGAUUUGCCGUGUUCAUGGUUCACCUUGCCACAAUCCCUAUCACUGGCACUGGCAUCAACCCAGCAAGGAGCUUUGGAGCUGCUGUGAUUUACAACCAAGAAAAAGCUUGGGAUGAUCAAGUAAAUUUCCUUUUUUUUUUUUUAUACUUUUACUAAAUAUAUAAAAUUUACAUUUCCAUUGAAAAAAAAUUUUAAAUGAAAUUCAUGUGGUGUUAU
Molecule: long non-coding RNA, 729 nt
Filed under: Gossypium barbadense (sea-island cotton)
Lineage: Eukaryota; Viridiplantae; Streptophyta; Magnoliopsida; Malvales; Malvaceae
Description: long non-coding RNA (GBAR_LNC001935)
Source: RNAcentral